CCUACGGGUGGCAGCAGUGAGGAAUAUUGGUCAAUGGACGAGAGUCUGAACCAGCCAAGUCGCGUGAAGGAUGAAGGAUCUAUGGUUUGUAAACUUCUUUUAUAUGGGAAUAAAGUGAGGAACGUGUUCCUUUUUGUAUGUACCAUAUGAAUAAGCAUCGGCUAACUCCGUGCCAGCAGCCGCGGUAAUACGGAGGAUGCGAGCGUUAUCCGGAUUUAUUGGGUUUAAAGGGUGCGUAGGUGGUUAAUUAAGUCAGCGGUGAAAGUUUGUGGCUCAACCAUAAAAUUGCCGUUGAAACGGGCUGUCUUGAGUAUAUUUGAGGUAGGCGGAAUGCGUGGUGUAGCGGUGAAAUGCAUAGAUAUCACGCAGAACUCCGAUUGCGAAGGCAGCUCACUAAACUAUAACUGACACUGAAGCACGAAAGCGUGGGUAUCAAACAGGAUUAGAUACCCCAGUAGUC
This 460-nucleotide ribosomal RNA is filed under the name uncultured bacterium. Its description in RNAcentral is "partial 16S ribosomal RNA". It matches the Rfam family "Bacterial small subunit ribosomal RNA", at positions 338 to 795 of the family's 1533-position model. The record is from RNAcentral.